CGCGGGAUGGAGCAGUGGUAGCUCGUCGGGCUCAUAACCCGAAGGUCGUAGGUUCGAGUCCUGCUCCCGCAA
This 72-nucleotide transfer RNA is filed under the name Sphingobacteriales bacterium. RNAcentral's name for it is "tRNA-Met". It matches the Rfam family "tRNA". Rfam says of the family: Transfer RNA (tRNA) molecules are approximately 80 nucleotides in length. Their secondary structure includes four short double-helical elements and three loops (D, anti-codon, and T loops). Further hydrogen bonds mediate the characteristic L-shaped molecular structure. tRNAs have two regions of fundamental functional importance: the anti-codon, which is responsible for specific mRNA codon recognition, and the 3' end, to which the tRNAs corresponding amino acid is attached (by aminoacyl-tRNA synthetases). tRNAs cope with the degeneracy of the genetic code in two manners: having more than one tRNA (with a specific anti-codon) for a particular amino acid; and 'wobble' base-pairing, i.e. permitting non-standard base-pairing at the 3rd anti-codon position. The record is from RNAcentral. Lineage: Bacteria; Pseudomonadati; Bacteroidota; Sphingobacteriia; Sphingobacteriales.